CUUGUUAUUUUUCGUUUUUUUGGAUUAUAAUCAUCCUAGUGGGAAAAGCUGUCAUCUUUCAAGAAUACAUACAUCAAAGCUUGGGACAAGAUAUUUAUCUAAUUUCUGUGGCAAAAUUAAAGACCUGCUAGGAAGCAGGUGACAAUGAAGAAAGAAACUGAAUUUAUCAUUUUCUCCUAAGGAAAAAUGAUAGACAAAAAUCAAACCUGUGGUGUAGGACAGGACUCUAUGCCCUAUAUGACUUGCCUGGUUCACAUACUUGAAGAAUGGUUUGGUGUGGAGCAACUGGAGGACUAUCUGAAUUUUGCAAACUAUCUUUUGUGGGUUUUUACGCCACUAAUACUUUUAAUACUUCCUUACUUUACUAUCUUUCUUCUCUACCUUACUAUUAUUUUCUUACACAUUUAUAAGAGGAAGAAUGUAUUAAAAGAAGCCUACUCUCAUAAUUUAUGGGAUGGUGCAAGGAAAACGGUGGCAACUCUGUGGGAUGGACACGCAGCGGUAUGGCACGGUUAUGAAGUUCAUGGGAUGGAAAAAAUACCAGAAGGACCAGCACUUAUAAUUUUUUAUCAUGGAGCUAUUCCCAUAGAUUUUUACUACUUCAUGGCUAAAAUUUUUAUCCACAAAGGCAGAACUUGUCGAGUAGUAGCUGAUCACUUUGUCUUUAAAAUUCCAGGGUUUAGUUUAUUACUUGAUGUGUUUUGUGCUCUACAUGGACCAAGAGAAAAAUGUGUUGAAAUUCUGAGGAGUGGUCACUUGUUAGCUAUUUCACCAGGUGGAGUUCGGGAAGCCCUAAUUAGUGAUGAAACCUACACCAUCGUAUGGGGUAAUCGCAAAGGUUUUGCUCAGGUCGCAAUUGAUGCAAAAGUGAUGAGGAGACUCAGGCACAGAGAGAUGGAGGGAUGGAAGGGCUCUGGUCACACAGCAAGGCAGCAGCAGAGCAGAGCACACAGUUCAGGACUCGAGGCAACUGGUGCUGUUGCCGUCCCUGACUACAUGCCGCACCCAUUAUUCCUAUGUUUACACAAAAUAUUCGAGAAGGAUUUAGAUCACUUGGAGGAACAAGAUUAUUUAGGUGGCUUUAUGAAAAAUUUCGCUAUCCAUUUGCUCCGAUGUAUGGAGGUUUUCCAGUGAAGUUACGGACCUAUUUAGGUGAUCCUAUUCCGUAUGAUCCAGAGAUAACAGCAGAAGAAUUAGCUGAAAAGACGAAGAAUGCUGUUCAAGCUUUGAUUGAUAAGCACCAGAGAAUACCAGGAAACAUUAUGAGUGCUUUGUUAGAACGUUUUCAUAA
This is an RNA transcript of Cynocephalus volans (Philippine flying lemur), 1291 nucleotides long. It is a transcript of the gene named transmembrane protein 68, with no coding region annotated. The record is from RefSeq and is a predicted model, not a curated record. The transcript has 9 exons. Lineage: Eukaryota; Metazoa; Chordata; Mammalia; Dermoptera; Cynocephalidae.